Cucumis melo (muskmelon) is the source of this 2391-nucleotide long non-coding RNA. RefSeq lists it as uncharacterized. The record is from RefSeq and is a predicted model, not a curated record. Lineage: Eukaryota; Viridiplantae; Streptophyta; Magnoliopsida; Cucurbitales; Cucurbitaceae. The transcript has 9 exons.
UUUUUAAAUGUCAUUAAAUAUAAAAUUUCAAAUUAUAAAUAUUUAUUUUAAAUUACAUACAAAGAAAGAAAAAGAAGAGAGAGGGAAUUGGAGUUUCUUUUUCACCAGCUACUUCUUCUUCUUCUUCCGUUGCUAGGGCACAACAACAAGCAUCCCAAAUUUCGUGCUCCUUCCUCUUCUUCCUCUGAACCUCUCUUCCUUGCCGAUUCAAGCUCUCCCUCGCUGAUUUUCCUCUCCAAAAAUCGUUAGCAACAGUGGAGGGACGAAUGUUUUUGUUGGUUCUAUUACUCUUUUCUCUCUUUUUUUAGUUUUUUUUUGUAUAGAGAGGAGAAGACAACACCAUUUUCUCUCUUUCUCUCUCUAAAAAACCCACUUACACAACUCAUUCUCUUCACCCAUCCACCCAUUUUCUUCACCCAUCUACCCAUCACUUAAUAUUCACAACCGCGACCCCCACCCCUCGAACGUCAAAUGCCGGCUCUACCUCCACAAGUGUUCUUUUUCGCGCGCAAUCCACGUGCAUUAUCAUUGAUUGUUUAACGGGGCUGAUCAAUCUUUGUUGCCUUAUGGUGCAUGGUCUUGAAUAUAUUCUUUUUCAAGAAGUUGUUCAAGGGAAGGGUUGAGAAAGAGGUAUGAAGGUGGCUGGGACAUUUCCAAUCGAAAUUACUGGGCUUACUCCUUGGCACACAUUGUUUCCUUCUGCAGUUGAUCUCUUGCUUCAUCUCUUUAUUUAUCUUUCUUCAUAUGUUGUCUACAAUAGAAGAAGAAAUGGGAUUACUGUAAAUAAAACAUGGUUUGCUUCAACUAGUAAAGCCUUUAAACUUUCUUCAUAGCAAUGCACAUCUUAUUCAUCGUGCUAUACCUCCGGAGGCCAAAUUGAAGUGGGGAAAGCGUAAAAUCCCUGGGGAUCGAGUAAUUGAUUACUACGUGAAUGUGUUUCCGUAGCGCCACCUACAGUCGUCAGGGAUUCCGGGGCUGAAAGAGGCCGUGACUAGAGAUUUGAGAACCUGAGCCUAGGUGAGGACAUGGAUGGAGGAUUGUGACAUGGCUUCGGGCCUAGCUUAACCCAUGGUUGGGUGGCUCUAUGUGCAAAUAGGAGCGGUAUGUUGUUGCCGUGUUAGGUGCUAAGUAUGCAUGAGCUCCGUUUGGCCGUGUGUUUUUUUGUAGAUUGGAUCACGUGUGAGCUAUCCUUGGGCCGUAUGCUUAGUAUGCUAUCAUGGAUGAAUUGGAUUGGUUUGAUUGGAUUGGUUGGAUCGGAUUGGAUGGAGGUUGUUAUCGUGGCGGGUACUAAAUAUGCGUGAGCUAGUUUUGGCGGCAUGAUUUUUAGUCAUGUGCGAGCUAUCUUUGGCCGUAUAUUUAGAUGCCUUGCCAUGGUUGGUUUGGAUACAAGUUUGUUGGCCUUACUUAUGGUUUAUGGUAAUACAUGAUUCUAAUGUUUUAAUUAUCAUUUCGAUGUUGAUUUUAUAACUAAACCGUUAAAUGUAUGUUUUAUAAGUUUUUGAGAAAAAUAAACAAAAUUGCCACUCAUUGAGUUUCAACUCAUGUUUUCUCCCCUCUAGGUAACGGUUUAGGACCAAGCAUUGGUUGUGCUUUCCUGGCAGUGGUUGUAGUAUCUCAUUGUGUAGUAUAUACUUAUGCAUUCUAUUGUAUUAUUGGGUUAUUAGAAGAAAUGAGAGUCAUGAUGAGAAUUUGAGUCUGUGAGGUCUUUUAUUAAAUUGUAAUUCCUUUGUAACUAGUUCGUAGUUGAAUAUAAACUUUGUUUGGGACUCUGGAUUAUGUUGGAUGAGUGUGUGGUGAGACACACUCGAGGAUAAUUGAGUUUUGAAAAGUAUAGAAGUGUGUCUUUCUUCUAUUUUUCAGGUAUGGUUAGUUCGUUUUCAGGGGAGACUCUGCCAAAAUUUUUAUAGAAUUUCUUGGAAAAUGUUUUACUAAUCCUAUAUAUGAAAGGUUUGAGUUUAAGGAGUAGAUUCACACCACGAUCUAGGUUAGAGGGGAAAACUUAGACCGGGGUGUGACAUCAAGUCGCAACUUCGACCUAAGUAGGACGUCGCAGCUGGGAAAGCGUGACCUUGCGAUUAGGACUCGUUGAGCAAAUCUCCAGGCAGGGGCAAAGGUAAGAGCAAGGACAAGCUGGCGAGCGACCAGAAGUGACCGUUGCGAGCCAUAGGGAUCUCUUGCUUCCGCUUUAUGUCCGAGUUUAGACCUUGAGUGUUUGCCUUUUUAUUACUCUUUAUUUGUUAUUUCAUUUCUUUAAAAUUAGAUAGGGCCCGAGUUAGGAUUUUAAUAUUUUUUUACAUAUCACAUAUUAGUUUUGAUUAGGUUUUUUUUUUUUUAAAUAAUAAAUUUUUGAGGUUUCGUUUCGUUUUAUCCAGACUUUACAAACUUUAUUUA